GAGGAUCAGCAGCCUUAAAGCCAAGAAAAUUCCAGGUAUCCAACAGUAAAACAUUGGAGGACAGUGACCAUUGAGAACUUUAUAAAGCCAUGAUGACCACCACGCUUCUGAAUCACUAGGGUAAUCAAAACUCUGAAUAAACACUCACAUAACCAGUUGCCCUGACCUGAGUUGGCCUGCAGACCAGCAACAGGAAACAUCAGAGCCACCCCCCAGCUAACCUGCAGCUCCACAACCACGAGAUUAACCUGUCCUCUGAGUUCAACUCUGAAAAUUCUACUCCAAGUCCUUCAUUAAAGGUGGAAGAAAAUUUCAAACUCAAGCCAUCUUCUGCACAGAGGCUUUGGGAAAGUGUGCCCCAAGAGCGUCGACCAGCCUGCUUCUGGAAACACCAAGCAGUAAAUCAGCCAAUCGGAGGGCAUUAAAGUAAGACAACCAAGUUCACUGGAGUUGUUGGAAAAACUGUGUCAAUUGUUGUGUUUUGCUUUUUUGCAUUUUCCCAUUCAAUCCGACCAUAAUCCUAUUGGGGAAAAAAAUUAAUCUCUGCAUUACAGAGAAGGAAACUGAAAUCUGAAGAAAGCCAG
RNAcentral lists this long non-coding RNA (584 nucleotides) under Fukomys damarensis (Damara mole-rat). Its description in RNAcentral is "lncRNA (ENSFDAG00000022876.1)". The record is from RNAcentral. Lineage: Eukaryota; Metazoa; Chordata; Mammalia; Rodentia; Bathyergidae.